RNAcentral lists this ribosomal RNA (253 nucleotides) under uncultured bacterium. RNAcentral describes it as "partial 16S ribosomal RNA". It matches the Rfam family "Bacterial small subunit ribosomal RNA", at positions 524 to 776 of the family's 1533-position model. The record is from RNAcentral.
UACAGAGGGGGCAAGCGUUAUUCGGAAUUAUUGGGCGUAAAGGGCGCGUAGGCGGCCUGGCAAGUGGAAGGUGAAAUCCCUCGGCUUAACCGAGGAACUGCCCUCCAAACUGCUUGGCUUGAGUCCGGGAGAGGUGAGUGGAAUUCCCAGUGUAGCGGUGAAAUGCGCAGAUAUCGGGAGGAACACCAAUGGCGAAGGCAGCUCGCUGGGACGUUACUGACGCUGAGACGCGAAAGCGUGGGGAGCAAACAGG